GAUGAACGCUAGCGGCAGGCUUAACACAUGCAAGUCGAGGGGCAACACGGGUAGCAAUACCUGGUGGCGACCGGCGCAAGGGUGCGUAACGCGUGAGCAACAUGCCCUAUACAGGGGGAUAAUCCAGGGAAACUUGGUCUAAUAUCCCAUAGUAUUUAGAGGUGGCAUCACCACUAAAUUAAAGCUUCGGUGGUAUAGGAUUGGCUCGCGUGACAUUAGCUAGAUGGUGAGGUAACGGCUCACCAUGGCAAUGAUGUCUAGGGGUUCUGAGAGGAAGGCCCCCCACACUGGGACUGAGACACGGCCCAGACUCCUACGGGAGGCAGCAGUGAGGAAUAUUGGACAAUGGAUGGAAAUCUGAUCCAGCCAUGCCGCGUGCAGGAAGACAGCCCUAUGGGUUGUAAACUGCUUUUAUAUGGGAGCAAUAAGGUCUACGUGUAGACUGAUGAGAGUACCAUAUGAAUAAGC
Molecule: ribosomal RNA, 468 nt
Filed under: uncultured bacterium
Lineage: Bacteria
Description: bacterial SSU rRNA
Rfam family: Bacterial small subunit ribosomal RNA
Source: RNAcentral